Molecule: ribosomal RNA, 403 nt
Filed under: uncultured bacterium
Lineage: Bacteria
Description: partial 16S ribosomal RNA
Rfam family: Bacterial small subunit ribosomal RNA
Source: RNAcentral
AUUGAACGCUGGCGGCAGGCCUAACACAUGCAAGUCGAGCGAGCGGCGGACGGGUUCGUAAUGCAUGUGGACUGCCCGAUCGAGGGGGAUAACUACUGGUAACGGUGGCUCAUACCGCAUACUAUCGGAUAACCCAUAUGGGAUUAGCUAGUAGGUGGGGUAAAGGCUCACGUAGGCGACGAUCUCUAGCUGGUCGGAGAGGAUGAUCAGCCAAACUGGGACUGAGAAACGGCCCAUACUCCUACGGAGGCAGCAGUGGGGAAUAUUGCACAAUGGGGGCAAGCCUGAUGCAGCCAUCCCGCGUGUAUGAAGAAAGCCUUAGGGUUGUAAAGUACGUUCAGCGGGGAGGCGUUACCCGCAGAAUAAGCACCGGCUAACUCCGUGCCAGAAGCCGCGGUAAUUC